GAUGAACGCUAGCGGCAGGCUUAACACAUGCAAGUCGAGGGGUAUUGGUUUUCGGACCAAGAGACCGGCGCACGGGUGCGCAACGCGUAUGCAAUCUACCUUUUGCAGAGGGAUAGCCCCAGAGAAAUUUGGAUUAAUACCUCAUAGUAUAGUACUUUGGCAUCAAGGAACUAUUAAAGUCACAACGGCAAAAGAUGAGCAUGCGUCCCAUUAGCUAGUUGGUAAGGUAACGGCUUACCAAGGCUACGAUGGGUAGGGGUCCUGAGAGGGAGAUCCCCCACACUGGUACUGAGACACGGACCAGACUCCUACGGAGGCAGCAGUGAGGAAUAUUGGACAAUGGGCGCAAGCCUGAUCCAGCCAUGCCGCGUGCAGGAUGACGGUCCUAUGGAUUGUAAACUGCUUUUAUACAGGAAGAAACACUCCGACGUGUCGGAGCUUGACGGUACUGUAAGAAUAAGGAUCGGCUAACUCCGUGCCAGCAGCCG
RNAcentral lists this ribosomal RNA (488 nucleotides) under uncultured bacterium. RNAcentral's name for it is "bacterial SSU rRNA". It matches the Rfam family "Bacterial small subunit ribosomal RNA", at positions 28 to 517 of the family's 1533-position model. The record is from RNAcentral.